This 250-nucleotide long non-coding RNA is filed under the name Ananas comosus (pineapple). RNAcentral's name for it is "long non-coding RNA (ACOM_LNC002776)". Lineage: Eukaryota; Viridiplantae; Streptophyta; Magnoliopsida; Poales; Bromeliaceae. The record is from RNAcentral.
UCAUGUGUGGGCCGAGUCAUGUUCGAAGUGUCGUGAAGCUGAGUGGGCCGAGUCAAGUUCGAAGUAGCGUGAGGCUAGUUGGGUCGAGUCACAAUCGAGACCCGUAGGCGUUGUAUCUGUACGCUUUAAAUGAAUUUGUUGCGUAUUUCUAACAGCUUGAGCUUUUGGGAUUAAUGGUUAGCGCCAACGAUCCGAUAGGAACGAAAGUAAUUUAGCUAAAUACUAACAUCAAAGUAAUCGUCAUAUAUUU